Molecule: long non-coding RNA, 5450 nt
Organism: Neopsephotus bourkii (Bourke's parrot)
Lineage: Eukaryota; Metazoa; Chordata; Aves; Psittaciformes; Psittacidae
Exons: 3
Source: RefSeq, a predicted model, not a curated record
UUUUUUGUAUUUGUUUUUAAAAUUGCAACUUCCACAGAAUACAUUAUCUUAACAGUGUUUUAUAGUAGGAAGAAGUGUGUGAUUUUGAAAAUGGCGAUGGCAAAGCUAUUGAUAGGAAAGGACUGAUUACUCUCUGCAGCCUGAAUCAAUAGUCCAUGCUCAGUUAUAAUGAGGCCCAAGUGCAACCCACUGUAAGGCCAGGGUGAAAUGUGAUUUCAAUGUCAGAGAAAACAACAGAAAGAGAAAAGGUUUUCCUCCCCGGUUUCGUGUACUGCACAGACUGAGAUCUGAAAGUGGAAGAAAAUGUUGUGUGUGUUGACUUCUUCCUUUGAUCUGUCCCCAUUUAACUUCCAGACUUCCUUUUCCAUACAGGAAAAGAGCAAGUCCCCAGGAACAGAAGAGUGCCUGUGGCAGUGCAAUUGCUCUGCAUUCCUCAUGGAUUGGAGAGAUUCAGGCUUUGAGCUGUGACUGUGAGAAAAUAGGAGCAAACAGCAGUGGUUCCUUGUCUGUAUGCCUCAUUUAAUUCCUUAUCUGUAAGGCCAAGCACGCUGUGCUUUGCCUGUAGAGCCAUGUGGCAUGGUGCAUGGGACAUAAACCUUCAUGAUGGGAACGCUAUCAAGUGCCCAAACUGCACUAAUUCCACCACCAGUUGAUGCAAAUGCCUAUGCAGAUCAUGAGCUCUGGGACAGAAUCUGCUCUGGAGAGCCAGCUUAAAGCAUUGGUGUCAUGGGUUGGCACAAGGUCAGUGUUUAGAGAAGUGAGAGAAUUGAAAAUACCUCCUUAGUUUUAUAUAAAUCUGAUGCCUUGUAGGUUACAAAGGACAAGUAGCCAGUUAGUGGUGAUGCUAGCUCUGAAUUUGACUCCACAUGUUUGAAGCUAAAAUAAGUGUUUUAUAACAAGCCUCUUCCAUUCCUACUAGUGCAUGACCCUAUCUGAGCUGCAUCUUAAACAUAAAUCCUUUUGGAUUCUUUGCCACCUAAGCCAGAAAUCAGCUCAGCCCACAGCCAUCUCUUUAAGAGACUGAAGAGGCUGAAAUCUUGCAGUCUGUCACCAAAAGGCAUCCUAUUCCAGUUCGUAAGCACAAGUGUGCACAUUUUCUCUAUUUCAUCUCCACCUUAUCUGUUGGUCAGUGCUGCCUGUGCCAGACAUGAACAUGGUAUUCCAGCUGCAAUAACACUAAACCCAAAUACAGACGUGAUACAGCUUAUUUUACUGGUGCCACAUUUAAGAAGCUGAUUAUUCCUCUCAGAUACUGUAUCUCUGAAGUCUGGAAACUCUGGUUCAGCUGUGACUCUCUUGCCUUUUUCAGUAUCUCCGACCCUUCGCCUCCAUGCACAUAUCCCCUAUUCUAAAACUAUGGUUUAUUAUUCCUAUAGUAUAAUUUUUAACCUGGGUCAUACUCAAACGUGCAUUGCUUACCCAAAUGCAAUUUUGCAAACUGGUUUGCUCCACACCAGUGGCACGUUCUUUAAUUUUCACCUCUUCUCUCUGUCUUGGUGCCAUCUGCAGAACUCAGUAGUAAUCCUUUUGUUUGUUGAUAGUCCUUGAUAAAAUACCAGUUGGCGCAGAUAAAUACCUGACUGAGCAGGGUUAUAGGAACAUUUUUUUCUGUUAAAAAAUUCUUGAUAAGUAGAUGCCACCUUGAAAACUCACACCAUGCACUAGCCAUCCCAGGGUGGGAAAGGGCUAGAGGGAAAAUAAGCAACUUGAACCAAACCCAGCUGAUCACCAGGAUCUGCCAGCAGGCAAAGGGAAGGGGUGCAAGGACUGAGGGAUGGAUAAAAGGAGACACUGAGCCAAACAUCCCAGGGUGGCACCCAGGGAGCAGUACCUGCUGCCCGCGGUGCCCAGGCGCCCUUCCAGGAGCACUGUAGUGCUGUGUCAGGGAUGAUUAGUUCGACAACCAUUUUAUAUGUGUCACGUUGGGUUUAUAUUGUUCCAGUUUCUUAAUCAACAUGUCCUGCUGCAACAAAUUGAAGGCCUUAAAGAAGUCCAGGAGUUUUACAUCAGCUUCAUUGCAUGUAUCACUUGAUCUUGUAAUCUCCUUGGUGAAAGAUAACAAGUCAGUUUGAAAGGGUCUCUUCCCAUAAACUCCUGUUGAUUGGCAUUAAUUAUAUCUCCCUCCUUUAAUUCUUUGUUAAUCUAGAUCCAUAUGAGUCAUUCCAUUUUACUGCUGGGACUCGUGUCAGGAGACAAGCCUAUAAAUACUUCGUUCUUUUUCUCUACCUUUUCCAAAAUCUUUCCCAACAUCUGCUUUCCUUCAGAGCUUCCCCACUGCCCAGAAAGUUACUGGGGAUCACACACAGCUGUCAUACUGUGCUUGUGCAUUGAAAACAUCCUUGCUAAUCAGCCUGACAAAGCCAGCUGCAUUAGACAUGCUACUGAAAAAAGGGGUUUUGAACAAUGAAUUAACUCUACAAUCAUAAACUACCUUUGCAAAAUCAUUUGCAUGUUUAUUUUGAGUUUCUGUAUCACAAACUACACAACUAUGCCUACAAAGGGCCUUUUUUAAAUGCAUGGAUGAUUUAAAAAAGAGGAUUUAUAGAAGACCAGCCAGAGGGAUGCACAGCACAGAUGGGUUUCAUGUAUGGUUCCCAGCAUGGUGAUUCACAGCACCUUUGUUCUAGUGGUAAACUACCUUUUGCCUUCCAUUCUCCUCAAACAAUGACUAAAACCCAGGAGAUGGACAAACAGUGCCAUACUUAUUACUGUUACUGUAGAUGUGUACUAAUAUCAUCAUUUUUUGUUUGUUUCAGAACAUCAAGGAGAUGACAAAUAGAUAACAUAGUUGGGCUUGUUUAAUAGCAAAAGAUGAGUUGCUGGUUUGAAAAUAUCAGCUAGAAGGUCAGUAGCUUCAAAUUGAAUUGGAAAAAUUCCACCUUAAUGCUGUUGCCCCAGUACUGAUUAGAAUACACAUUGCAUAAGACCAUAACACUUUUGGAGAGGGAGAGGAUGUUUUAUCAUCUAAGCAUAGGGCAGUUUUCAAGAUGAGUGGAAGAACAAGAUUAAUUAGGAGUAUUUUAAUAUUACCAAAAUAAAAAGCAGGAAUUAGGACUGUAUUAAUUUAAUUUCAAACACACAGGUAAUAGCCUUAACUCGUGUGUUCGUCUGCAUCUGUGUUUAUCUGAAUAGGUAUCUGAAAUUGCUGGUAAGCACCAGCUUCCUCCUGGCUGCCUCUGCAUGAGCCUGGCUGGCAUUCCCUGCAGGGAGGACAUGCUCCCAGCUCAGGCUUUGGAGGAACAGGACAUCUUCAUCCCAAUAUAAAACAGCGUUGGACUGGCCACUGCUGGGAGCAGAGCAGGCAGGCAGCCAUAGGAACCCGCUUGCCUGGGUAGUGCUGCACUGGGGGCUCUGCACCCCUGCCCUGCCCUCCCUGAAUACCCAUUUUGCCAUCUACCUUCUCCCUGGCCUCUUUACUCGUCUGGCAACAGAGGGCUAAGUCUUGCUGACAGGAUAUACCCUUGCAAAUACAGAAUCUCAUUGAGCUAAUAAAUAAUUCCCAUCGUUGCCAAAAGUAACAUUCCCUUCCCCAUUUACGGGAGAUGCUGAAUCUGGCGUUGGUACUAUUAACACCUUUAGCAUUUCUCCCAUUAAGAUUUUCUGCCCAUAAGAGGCUUUUCAUAGUUUCUGUUGGUUCUGGUUUUACUUUCUUUCAUGGCUACUGAAGCUUGAGCCACCUGGACUUUGAGGGGUCAGCCCUUUAAAUUUGUUUUAAACCUCUCACAGUAAUUACAGAGUUUUCAAUCUGAUUCUGAAAAGCAAAUAAUAUUGAAGAGAAGCAUAGGGGUAUGACUUUGGGUGCUUUAGGAACCUUUUUAAUUUACCCCUUUUUUCAGUAGCAAGAUGAAAAAAAAAAAAAGAGGAGCAAAAUACCCAUGGAAAAAAGCCACCAAUAAUUUUUGAUAUAAAAGUUCUCUAAGACUUACUGAACAAAGGCAAGGUUCCUCCUUCUGGAAACCAGUGGAAUGGAGAGGACUGGGUAGACUUUUAAAGAUUCAGUAAAUGCUUGCUAAUAUUUCUCAGAGAGCUUUCACUGACGGCACUUUACCGUUUCUACAUUAGCAGGUGAAAUGGUUUCAACCCCAGUAAGCAGGGAGAUGGGAGCAGUGCUCUUUCAUGCUGCCUUGCCCUGGGAGGGGAAAGGAGGGAUGGCGUCAGAGGGGCUGCGACUAAGUGGGCAGCGGGAAGCUUCCCAGGGGAGAGGAGGAAGGUAACACAUAUGUGGGACACAAAGGAAGAUCUGAGAGACUGGAAUAACAUACGGAUCUGAGGGAUGGGGAAAGAGCUAGUGGAUGGAAAAACAUGUAGGCGCUAACCCUGGAGAAUUUUCCUUUUCAGUAAACCUGCUCCUCUCAAAAGGAGGAGGGAACUGAGAGGCCAUAUUAGGUCCCAUGCUGCGUAUGGUCCUGGAUGGUUUGAGUUCUUGUUUCCUAAUACUACCUGGCUUCAGUGAAUAUUCCAGUUGGUUACUGGGGGGAUGAGCCCCUGUGACACCCUUUAAGAGGAGGAAAACCGUUCUGCCUCCUUAUGUGAAGCAGAUCACUUGCUAUGGCACUUGUCCCCAAGGGACAUUGCUGAAGGUCUCAAGCGUCACCUCUCAGAACCACCUGAGAACAAUCCUGGCUCACCUGGGGCUGAAGUCUGACUGCAGUGAGUUGAGUGGGGAUGUUUGGAGGACAUUAAAGGGCUCCUUUAGUGGGUCUGCCCAUUUAAUAAAAACAUGUUGUUUCCAUAGGGCUGUGUUUGCUCCAUGUUUGCCAUCCACUGCCAUGUCCCAUCACCCCCUCUAUGGCAUUGUGCCCUUGGACUUCAGGAUCUCUCCCAGGGCUUUUUUUUAGGAAGACCCAGCACAGACUGGGAGAGGACUUGGGAAAUGCACCCUGUCUUCAGCAGGUAGCAGUGUGGGGCAGGCACAGCCAAUGCACCUCAGCAGCACUGACAAAUGCUGCAUCAGCAUCCAUACAUGCACACCCUUAUGUUUAUGUCCAUCUGCAUGUGUAUACAUAUAAACAGGAAACCACCUUCUGCUCCUUUCAUAACAGACCCUUCUGGAUUCUGUAAGUGUGAUGCGCACUCCCCUUGGGAAUCCAUGGAGGCUGUAAUGUAUAACAGAGAAGGAUUUAUCACGAUCUCUGACAUGAACCUGGGGAAAAGACUAGUACUAUUUUCUAAAGUACUGCAUUGGGUUUGGGUUCAGCUAUAUUGUUUUAAUAUUUUAUGUAUGUGAAUGUGAUGUACUGUAAUGAAAACACUCUUCUAUCUUUUUCUAGUAAGUGCAUCUUUCAAAACAAGGAACGAUGUCAAAUGAUGGAGAGGAGCUCUAGGUCUGGAAGGCACAAGAAAAUGCAUAAAAGAUGAAGUCCUAUUUAUGUUUCUCGCAUGCAUGAAAAAAACCAAUCAAAAAACAACCCACCUACAUUAAAGAAAUGCUAUUCAAGCUACAAAGUAAA